AUACGGAGGGUGCAAGCGUUGUUCGGAAUCACUGGGCUUAAAGCGCGCGUAGGCGGGUAGUUAAGUGCCUUGUGAAAUCCCACGGCUUAACCGUGGAAUUGCAGGGCAUACUGGCUAUCUUGAGGCAAGUAGGGGUGCAUGGAACUCUGAGUGGAGCGGUGAAAUGCGUAGAUAUUCAGAGGAACGCCAGUGGAGAAAUCGGUGCACUGGGCUUGUCCUGACGCUGAGGUGCGAAAGCGUGGGUAGCGAACGGGAUUAGAAACCCCGGUAGUCC
RNAcentral lists this ribosomal RNA (274 nucleotides) under uncultured bacterium. RNAcentral's name for it is "partial 16S ribosomal RNA". It matches the Rfam family "Bacterial small subunit ribosomal RNA", at positions 523 to 796 of the family's 1533-position model. The record is from RNAcentral.